GGGAAGGUCGUGCGAGGCGCCGCGGGAAGAGGAAACGGGGGAACGUGGUUCGGAAGCACUGGGCGUGAAGGGCGGGUAGGCGGGGGGCCAAGGAAGGGGUGAAAGCGUUCGGCUCAACCGGAAAACAGCGUCUGAUACUGGUCGUCUUGAGCGAGGUAGGGGCAUGUGGAACUGCCGGUGGAGCGGGGAAAUGCGUAGAUAUCGGAAGGAACGCCGGUGGCGAAAGCGACGUGCUGGACCUCUUCUGACGCUGAGGCGCGAAAGCUAGGGGAGCAAACGGGAUUAGAUACCCUAGUAGUC
RNAcentral lists this ribosomal RNA (300 nucleotides) under uncultured Aeropyrum sp. RNAcentral's name for it is "bacterial SSU rRNA". It matches the Rfam family "Bacterial small subunit ribosomal RNA", at positions 496 to 795 of the family's 1533-position model. The record is from RNAcentral. Lineage: Archaea; Thermoproteati; Thermoproteota; Thermoprotei; Acidilobales; Acidilobaceae.